AAUGAAAGAGGGGUUUAAUCAUGCUAUUCUAAAAAUUACAGGGAGAGUAAUGAUAUAACCGAAUUCCGCAAAGCCAAGCGUACUAAACGGCAAAUAACGGGAAUUUCGCUAACCACCUAAACUGAAAAUGGCGCUUCAAAUCAACUUACCUUAUUCUCUCACCAAAAAAUCCUAUAAUCAUCAUCUUGUCCGCGCACCUCUCCUUCUAUCUCGAACCGGACCCAGAUUCAGAAUCCAAUCCCAAAAACCCACCACCAACACCGAACCUACUAACCAUUCAGCCACACCUAAGAAAUCCGCUCCGCCUGGGCUAGGGUUUGGGUCACCAUCUCCUGUGGCUCCAGCCAAGUCAAGUCCAACUAAGGCAGGUCCCAGUGCUGUGAGUAAGAAGAAGAAACAGAGGGGUAAAAGAGAGAGGGCCUCCAUAAUUAGGCGGUUACCGGUUGAGAAGCCAACAUUUGUAAGCCAGGAGGACCAGGAUAAAGCUAAGGAACAGGGUAAGAAUGAGAGUGCCUUUCUUCUUGCUUGGCUGGGCCUUGGUGGGAUCAUUCUUGUCGAGGGCAUUGUGCUUGCUGCAUCAGGGCUGCAGGGCUGGGUGACGAUGGAUUGGUUAAUGCCACAAAUCAGCAAGUUUGGCAGUAGUUUCUGAACAACAUGAAAUUCCUGUUUUCUUUGACAUUCGUCACCUCUAGUGUUUUAUAUUUCAUUUAUUCCAUUGGUUGAAGUUUUCAAAUUAAUAGUAAAGACUGACAUGUUUGAAAUCGCUCUUUCAAGUGAACAACAUCAUCUGUUCCAGAAUGUGAGAAGUUGUGGAAAGGUUAAUUUGACUUCGUGCUGAUGUUGGUUUCAAGGAACCCCAUGCUUUUGUAGCCAGGUCUACAUUUUGGAAGUUCAUCGUUAAGAGUUUGAUUUUAUGGUUUGUUCAUUAGCAAAAAUGAGCACUGAUUAUACCAGUUUGGCAGAAUCCAGGGAAGAUUUAAUUGGAUUUGAAGGCUCUUAAAGGAUGAAAAAGUUUCUAUAAUUUGAUUUUGCACAUCAAACAUAUGCUGCUAGGUAGAGUUAAGCAUUAAAGCCCCUCGUACGGAGUUCACAAUUAUGAGCAUAUCAAUUUACAAGCUUUAUGCCUAGUCACUCGGGAUGACACUGUUUUUUUUACCUUCUAGUACCAAUAGAUUAUUUUAGUCAAUGCAGUUGGAACCUUGUCUAUAUAUCCUCAAAACUCAAGUGGUUUCUGUUACUUUAACCUCAGUGAUCAAGUUUUAUUUGCUUUUAUGAUGUGUGGGAAAUUAUCUGAAGUCAUAUCUGUAGUUUCCCUCCAGGGAAUACGAGGGUCAUCUUUUUGGACCACCAAAUCAUUUAGUAUACCGAGUACCAGUUGGUUUCAGAUUUGCAAAUGAAUUCAAUGCAAGCACCCUUUUGUGUCACUUCAUCAAAUUUGUGUGAAAAUUAGAUGACAUGAUCCAGAGAGGUCCCCUCUUCUAAUUAUUGCUUCUCCUCCUUUGCACAUCUUCCCUUUUCAAUGCUAAUCAAUUUGCACCAACUCUUUAUAUCCCUUCUUCUCUUUGCCUCUCUCCCCCUUGUCUUUUUUUUUUUUUUUUUUACUCUCUCUAUUGAUUUAUUCAAAAUUUUUCUCAUUGAUAUUAGUUAAACAAUUAAUCCAUGAUGCGGGUAGGGAAUUCUUUACUUUUUUUCUCUUUUUCUUUCUUGUUCAUCAUUAAUUUGUUUGCCCUGAUUGAUACUUGAUGAUAGUGACCCCUUGUGCUUUUUGUAGUUAAUUUUGUAAUCUCUAGACAGAGGAAGAGAUACAAAGUUAACAAGAAGUUGCAGCUAAGCUAGCUACAGCAUAUAAACAGCUAGUUCCUCCUUUUUUAUUGAUUCUUUGGAUUGAUUCUUUUGGUUUGGUGAAGUUAUAGCCAAGGCCAGAUGCCCAAAGCUACAUAAAUGGGAAAGAUGAGCUUACAAGCAAUGUUGGAUUAGCACCUUCUACGCACGGAUGCAUGUUAUCCCAGCAAUAAUACAUUUUAGUUACUUUAUGCACUUAAUGCCUGUAAAUGGACUAAAUUAGGGUACUCUCUCUCUCUCUCUCUCUCUAUUUAUAAUAAUAAUAAUUAAUAACUUGAGAAAGACCAGAUAAAGGACAAGGAAGGUAUAUUUAAAAGCACGCAAGGGCUUUUUGAUGAAAAAGAUCAAGAGUUGAGGCGCCGCUGCCACUUUUCCACUGAUUCAGAUUCUGAAAUUUAAAUGAGUGUUUCAAUUGCUACGUUUGAA
Molecule: RNA transcript, 2268 nt
Organism: Hevea brasiliensis (rubber tree)
Lineage: Eukaryota; Viridiplantae; Streptophyta; Magnoliopsida; Malpighiales; Euphorbiaceae
Gene name: protein LPA2
Exons: 3
Source: RefSeq, a predicted model, not a curated record